Molecule: non-coding RNA, 45 nt
Filed under: Trichobilharzia regenti
Lineage: Eukaryota; Metazoa; Platyhelminthes; Trematoda; Strigeidida; Schistosomatidae
Source: RNAcentral
CACUUGCUGACGAGUGCCAAAUAACACGAAACAUAGGUCCAAGGC